AGUGAACGCUGGCGGUAGGCCUAACACAUGCAAGUCGAACGGCCGCACAGUAAGAGCUCGCUCUUACGGGUGGCGAGUGGCGGACGGGUGAGGAAUACAUCGGAAUCUACUUUUUCGUGGGGGAUAACGUAGGGCAACUUACGCUAAUACCGCAUACGACCUACGGGUGAAUGCAGGGGAUCUUCGGACCUUUCGCGAUUGAAAGAGCCGAUGUCGGAUUAGCUAGUUGGGGGGGUAAAGGCCCACCCAGGCGAGGAUCCGUAGCUGGUCUGAGAGGGUGAUCGGACACACUGGAACUGAGACACGGUCCAGACUCAUACGGGAGGAAGCAGUAGGGAAUAUUGCGAAAGGGGGGAAAGCUUGAAGGAGCAACGCCGCGUAAGUGAUGAAGGUCUUCGGAUCGUAAAACUCUGUUAGUAGGGAAGAACAAAUGGGUAAGUAAAUAUGCACGUCUUGACGGUACCUAAUCAGAAAGCCACGGCUAACUACGUG
This 492-nucleotide ribosomal RNA is filed under the name uncultured bacterium. Its description in RNAcentral is "partial 16S ribosomal RNA". It matches the Rfam family "Bacterial small subunit ribosomal RNA", at positions 29 to 507 of the family's 1533-position model. The record is from RNAcentral.